UAUGGAUCUUCGGCAUGGACGGAAUCUGACCGAGCAACGCCGCGUGAGUGAAGAAGGUUUUCGGAUCGUAAAGCUCUGUUGUAAGAGAAGAACGAGUGUGAGAGUGGAAAGUUCACACUGUGACGGUAUCUUACCAGAAAGGGACGGCUAACUACGUGCCAGCAGCCGCGGUAAUACGUAGGUCCCGAGCGUUGUCCGGAUUUAUUGGGCAGUAAAGCGAGCAGCAGGCGGUUAGAUAAGUCUGAAGUUAAAGGCUGUGGCUUAACCAUAGUACGCUUUGGAAACUGUUUAACUUGAGUGCAAGAGGGGAGAGUGGAAUUCCAUGUGUAGCGGUGAAAUGCGC
This 343-nucleotide ribosomal RNA is filed under the name Streptococcus sp. cps01.42. Its description in RNAcentral is "bacterial SSU rRNA". It matches the Rfam family "Bacterial small subunit ribosomal RNA", at positions 356 to 691 of the family's 1533-position model. Lineage: Bacteria; Bacillati; Bacillota; Bacilli; Lactobacillales; Streptococcaceae. The record is from RNAcentral.